CAAAUAUUUGAUAGUACCUUGCUACUUGGAUACCUGUGGUAAUUCUAGAGCUAAUACAUGCUGAAAACCCCGACUUCGGAAGGGGUGUAUUUAUUAGAUAAAAAACCAAUGCCCUUCGGGGCUCCUUGGUGAUUCAUAAUAACUUAACGAAUCGCAUGGCCUUGCGCCGGCGAUGGUUCAUUCAAAUUUCUGCCCUAUCAACUUUCGAUGGUAGGAUAGUGGCCUACCAUGGUGGCAACGGGUAACGGGGAAUUAGGGUUCGAUUCCGGAGAGGGAGCCUGAGAAACGGCUACCACAUCCAAGGAAGGCAGCAGGCGCGCAAAUUACCCAAUCCCGACACGGGGAGGUAGUGACAAUAAAUACUGAUACAGGGCUCUUUUGGGUCUUGUAAUCGGAAUGAGUACAAUCUAAAUCCCUUAACGAGGAACAAUUGGAGGGCAAGUCUGGUGCCAGCAGCCGCGGUAAUUCCAGCUCCAAUAGCGUAUAUUAAAGUUGUUGCAGUUAAAAAGCUCGUAAUUGAACCUUGGGUCUGGCUGGCCGGUCCGCCUCCCGCGAGUACUGGUCCGGCUGGACCUUUCCUUCUGGGGAACCCCAUGGCCUUCCUGGCCGUGGCGGGGGAACCAGGGACUUUUACUGGUGAAAAAAAUUAAAGUGUUCAAAAGCAGGCCUUUUGCUCCAAAUACAUUUAGC
RNAcentral lists this ribosomal RNA (690 nucleotides) under Trichocomaceae sp. LM228. Its description in RNAcentral is "SSU rRNA". It matches the Rfam family "Eukaryotic small subunit ribosomal RNA", at positions 114 to 808 of the family's 1831-position model. Lineage: Eukaryota; Fungi; Ascomycota; Eurotiomycetes; Eurotiales; Trichocomaceae. The record is from RNAcentral.